GUCCCACCAACAACCUGCUGUUGUCUCAGGUCUCCCCGCUGCUCGUAUCCCCGGCAGUGUUCUGUGGAUUUCUAUUGGUCGAGCCAACAAAGAAGGGCGGGCUAAAGAGUCAGCGCGACCAUAUUUGGAAGUGGCAGCGCUCUCUGAUUGUAGCGUAAAGUUCAUUUUUAUCAUCUUCGUCCUGAGAAGAGGAACCUUUCACGCCGCUGCUGCCUGACACAGCAUCCUCCUCUGUUUUCUUCUCAACCUGACACAAAAGGACACUGAGUGGGACCGUGUGUGCAGGUGUUAAUGCUGCAGGUUCCGCAAAGUGGCGGAAAUAAAAAAUAAAGUGCUCAGGGUCCACUGGCACGUACCCCCCGCUGUGCAGCUCUCUGUGGAUGCCCCAUGGCUGGAACCCUAUGAGCAGCAGCUGGAUGUGCUUCUCACGGUGUCACGCUCCAAAAACAGGCAACUCUACGAGACGCUCUUAUACUGCAGGUCCUCCAAUAAAUACUCUAACAGGGCGAUAGACUAUACGUAUAUGUACAGAAUGUGUGUUUGCACCAGUUUGCACAUGUUUUUACAUCCUCUCAUGUAAUUGCAGUUGACCACAAAUGAAUGCAGCUCUGACGCCUGCAGUACGACGGCAGCUUACCUGCAUUUCCCUCUCUGUUUUCUUGCUGAAGCUGAUUGAAGCGUCCUCACUUUUUAUUUUCUGCCAUAUGAAGAACCCCAGUGCGAUUAUAACCACCACUAAAACCAGAGGAACGAAUAUGUACCACCACAAAACUAGAGAGAGAAAAAACAUACGUUACUGGUUUUGACUUUGCUUUGUUCACCAAACAUCAUGUCAUGUUUGUUUCCAGUUUAGUUUUGUUGCAUUUUGUCUGUAGUAAAUGAGUUAAAAACCUCUUUAGUGUCAUUUUUGUGUUUCCCUUUCUGUUUCAUGCUUUAAGAUUAAUGAUACACCUUUUAAGAAGACACUUAACACACCCUUAAAUUCAAGUUAAAUUUGUAACAUCACCAAAUAUUUUGCUUUGUGAAAAAUCGCUGUAGUUGAUUAUGUAAAAAUGAGGACAUAUUCAUAAAUAAAAGUACCAUUACUCA
This is a long non-coding RNA of Betta splendens (Siamese fighting fish), 1089 nucleotides long. RefSeq lists it as uncharacterized. The record is from RefSeq and is a predicted model, not a curated record. Lineage: Eukaryota; Metazoa; Chordata; Actinopteri; Anabantiformes; Osphronemidae. The transcript is spliced from 4 exons.